Gorilla gorilla gorilla (western lowland gorilla) is the source of this 3223-nucleotide long non-coding RNA. RefSeq lists it as uncharacterized. The transcript has 4 exons. Lineage: Eukaryota; Metazoa; Chordata; Mammalia; Primates; Hominidae. The record is from RefSeq and is a predicted model, not a curated record.
CAUAACUUUCUCUGCAAGAAGCAGGCACCAUGAACACAAGGGCUGACCUGCCAGGGUCUCCCUGGGCAAGGAAAACCCCUCCAAAGCAGUGAACAGGACUUCCUGGCUAGGAACCCAGAAAAUAAAAGAUUCUUUUGUCUUCCUAGGAAAUGCUCACUUCCAACCAUGAGAGGAAUAACAAGGAGAGGUCAACAGAUGAGACACCUGGUUCUGCCUUUCAACUUCCUGGGUGACCAAAAGCAUGUCACUCAGCAUCCCUGGGCUCUCUUACCCAUCUGUGCAUAAUUGCUUCUCUCCACUGCAGCUGUGACUCUGUGAACAACUCCGAACAAAGGAUGAGCCCCCUGGGGGCAAGAAAUGGGACGUUUUCGUGCUUGUACUAAAGCAGAGUGCCUGACACUGUCGAUCCUCAAUUAAAAGGUCACUGAAAGGAUGGACUCCAGAUGACUGGAUGGACAGGUAAAUGGUGUUCCUGGAGUUGUGCAGUGGGCAAGUUCUGAGCCCACCUUUGCUGCGGAGGCUCUGGAGCGACAGGCACAGCGAUGGACCCAGGAUGUGAGCUUUCCAGCCUCCGAGCAACUUGGCAUCUGUAUGAGAAAACCCAGUCAGCCCUCAUCUCAGACGCAGGUGCAACACAUAUGGCCGUCAAGCUGGGCAGACCUGAGUUUGAAUCCUGAGCCUACCGCUCGUUAACUGUUAGACCCUGAAAAAGUGCCUCAACCUCUCUUGAGCCUCCACUUUCCAUACCUGUCAUGUUUAUUUAACAAUACCUACCUCUCAGCAUUUUCAUGAAAGUUUUAAGAUGAUAUUAUUAUGAGUAGCAGCUGUACAGCAGUAAUAAUAACUCAUGUAUACUGAGUGCAUUUAUAUGCCCUGUACUAUGCUGAGAACUUUACAUACGUUACCACAUUACCUGACUUAACCUUCACAACACCUCUCUGAAGAAUUGCUGUUACAUAACAGCCCCAUUUUACCUGCAAGAAAUGGAAGCUCAGAGUUCUUUGUUGCCCAGGUCACAUGGUUAGCAAAUGGAGUCAGGGUCAGAAUUUGAACCCUGGUCUGCGUGCGCCUCCAGCCCACCAAUAUGAGUCUUAAUGAACAAAGUACCUACCAUAUAGUAGACCCUUAACAAAUGGGAGUUCGAGUCCUUUCUUUCUCCCCUAAAUGCACAGAUUUUCACAGUGCCCUCUGAGAUUUGCUUUAGAGCUUGCCCACAUGGAGUUUUCAGAAAGUCAGGAGAAAGCGAGGUGGUGGGUGCAUCCCCCGAUCCAGGGCCCCCUCCCUCCCCCCGCUCAGCCUUCCUUCCUUUUAGGGUUUGGCAAAGGCUGCUUCACUCGAGGCCUCUCAUGGAGCUGGAAACAAUGCGAGUUUAUUUUGGCACGGCAAAGAGGGCCCGAUUCCCCUUCUCUGGACGCCUCUGUGGGAAGAGGACUAGAGAAUGUGGCCCAGGCCGCUGUCAGUUCCCGUUACUCUCCCCAGCACGUCCACGGCCGAGUCACAGCCAUCACAUGUAGCUCUGAGAAGGAAAUGAGAUAAGAGCUUUCUUUCCACUUCAGACUGAUCAUAAAAUUCCCCCUCCUCUCUCCACGCUCCCCCUCAAAAAGAAGUUGAACCAAGGACAUGGUGCUGCCGUUAAACUGAAUACUCUUAGCAGAUCUCUUCUCAGUCCUGUGGGGACAUCCUCACCUGGGUAUUUGGCUACCUGUGGCAGACACGAUAAGCAGGGCCCAUGGCCAGUGUGGUGAUGGAAGUCAUAGACACUCAGAGUGGCAAGGGACUGUCACUGUCCUCUGAUCCCAGCCCCUACCUGGCUUAGAUUCAGAUUCAGCCAGUAUUUAUCAGAUGCCAACCCUGGGCCAAGCCAGGAGUGCUUUUGCAUCUGUUAUUUCAUAUUUCAGAAUCCACACAACGUUCUUUUUGGAAAGGCCUUACUUUCCCAUUUUUACAAAUGUGGAAACUGUGGCUCAGAGAGGUCAAGUAGUUGGCUCAAGAUCAUGACGUGAGUAGGUCAGUGGUAGCGCUAGGAUAUGGUCUUCCAGCUCUGAGACCAAGCCCUGUCUGUCCCAGGCACAGGAGGAGUCUCUUCUACAACACUCCAGGUAGAAGGUUCAUCCAGACUUUGAAUUCCUUGGGUGUUCCUUAUUUCUAAGGAAAGUCUCAUCUAAAAUGUUUUUAGGGGUUGAACUAAAACCUACCUCUCUGUCACUUUCAUCUAUGGGUCCUGUAAGUCCUAAAUCUAACUCCAGGCAAAGGGAAGAAAGCCAGAGCUCUGCCCUUGGCCAUGUCUGUUCUUCAGAGAUGAGAAGAUGGCCCCAGAUGACCCUUGGCUGCCCCAUCCCUGUCCUAGAACCAGCCCUGCCACUUCCUAAAUGUGGACUCAUUUCUUAACAUCUCUGAGUUGCCAUCAGAUGGGGGCGAUUGUGUCUACGUUGCCAGAUGGCUGAGGGACUCAAUGAGAGGAUGUCUCAAAUGCACUUCCCCCACAGCCUGCACACAAUUAGCUCUCAGCCAAUGGCAGCUAUUGUUGUUUUAUCAUCAAUAGUAUUUAACCUCUCCAAACCUUGUCUCCUUUUCUAUGGAGUGGGAAUUAUAAUACCUACUUUCGUUUCCCCCAUCAACGCAAGUAGGCAUUCCAAUAAUACCAACUUCACAUGUCUGGGAGGAACGCACAAUGAUGCAGGCAGAGAGGGCUCAGAAACUUUGAAAAGUGGGUCACGUGCUCUGGCACCCUGGCUGCCUUUUUGGGGAGCCUGUUUCCUGAGCCUUCUGUCCUUCACCAGAAUUUUCAGGGUUGUGAUGUUUUUCUCUUCAAAAGCAUCUCCUCUGUAGCCCACUCCCCACCCCCAACAAACUUUUUUAAGCUAAAGAGAAAAAAAAACCAUAAAAAUAGACAAGUGUUUAGUUGGCCAGGUGCAGUGGCUCACGCCUGUAAUCCCAGCACUUUGGGAGGCUGAGGCAGGUGGAUCUCUUGAGGUCAGGAGUUUGAGACCAGCCUGGCCAACAUGGUGAAACCCUGUCUCUACUAAAAAUACAAAAAAAGUAGCCGAGUGUGGUGGUGGACGCCUGUAAUUCCAGCUACUUGGGAGGCUGAGGUGGGAGAAUUGCUUGAACCUGGGAGGUGGAGGUUGCAGUGAGCCGAGAUCACGCCACUGCACUCCAGCCUGGGUGACAGAGUGAGACUCCGUCUCCAAAAACCAAAAACCAAAACAAAACCAAAAGAAAA